RNAcentral lists this unclassified non-coding RNA (351 nucleotides) under soil metagenome. RNAcentral's name for it is "partial contains 5.8S ribosomal RNA, internal transcribed spacer 2, and large subunit ribosomal RNA". The stretch from base 1 to 120 matches the Rfam family "5.8S ribosomal RNA", at positions 35 to 154 of the family's 154-position model. The record is from RNAcentral.
GAUGAAGAACGUAGUGAAAUGCGAUAAGUAAUGUGAAUUGCAGAAUUCAGUGAAUCAUCGAAUCUUUGAACGCACAUUGCGCCCGCCAGUAUUCUGGCGGGCAUGCCUGUUCGAGCGUCAUUACAACCCUCAGGCCCCGGGCCUGGCGUUGGGGAUCGGCGGAGCCCCCCGUGGGCACACGCCGUCCCCCAAAUGCAGUGGCGGUCCCGCCGCAGCUUCCAUCGCGUAGUAGCUAACACCUCGCGACUGGAGAGCGGCGCGGCCACGCCGUAAAACACCCAACUCUUCUGAAGUUGACCUCGAAUCAGGUAGGAAUACCCGCUGAACUUAAGCAUAUCAAUAAGCGGAGGA